Molecule: ribosomal RNA, 484 nt
Filed under: uncultured bacterium
Lineage: Bacteria
Description: partial 16S ribosomal RNA
Rfam family: Bacterial small subunit ribosomal RNA
Source: RNAcentral
AUUGAACGCUGGCGGCAGGCCUAACACAUGCAAGUCGAGCGGAUGAAGGGAGCUUGCUUCUGGAUUCAGCGGCGGACGGGUGAGUAAUGCCUAGGAAUCUGCCUGGUAGUGGGGGAUAACGUCCGGAAACGGGCGCCAAUACCGCAUACGUCCUGAGGGAGAAAGUGGGGGAUCUUCGGACCUCACGCUAUCAGAUGAGCCUAGGUCGGAUUAGCUAGUUGGUGGGGUAAAGGCCUACCAAGGCGACGAUCCGUAAAUGGACUGAGAGGAUGGUCAGUCACACUGGAACUGAAACACGGUCCAGACUCCUACGGGAGGCAGCAGUGGGGAAUAUUGGACAAUGGGCGAAAGCCUGAUCCAGCCAUGCCGCGUGUGUGAAGAAGGUCUUCGGAUUGUAAAGCACUUUAAGUUGGGAGGAAGGGCAGUAAGUUAAUACCUUGCUGUUUUGACGUUACCAACAGAAUAAGCACCGGCUAACUUCGUG